UGGGGAAUAUUGGACAAUGGGCGAAAGCCUGAUCCAGCCAUGCCGCGUGUGUGAAGAAGGUCUUCGGAUUGUAAAGCACUUUAAGUUGGGAGGAAGGGCAGUAAGCGAAUACCUUGCUGUUUUGACGUUACCGACAGAAUAAGCACCGGCUAACUCUGUGCCAGCAGCCGCGGUAAUACAGAGGGUGCAAGCGUUAAUCGGAAUUACUGGGCGUAAAGCGCGCGUAGGUGGUUCGUUAAGUUGAAUGUGAAAGCCCCGGGCUCAACCUGGGAACUGCAUCCAAAACUGGCGAGCUAGAGUAGGGCAGAGGGUGGUGGAAUUUCCUGUGUAGCGGUGAAAUGCGUAGAUAUAGGAAGGAACACCAGUGGCGAAAGCGACCACCUGGGCUCAUACUGACACUGAGGUGCGAAAGCGUGGGGAGCAAACAGG
RNAcentral lists this ribosomal RNA (429 nucleotides) under Pseudomonadota bacterium. Its description in RNAcentral is "Proteobacteria bacterium partial 16S ribosomal RNA". It matches the Rfam family "Bacterial small subunit ribosomal RNA", at positions 355 to 776 of the family's 1533-position model. Lineage: Bacteria; Pseudomonadati; Pseudomonadota. The record is from RNAcentral.